AGUGAACGCUGGCGGUAUGCCUAACACAUGCAAGUCGAACGGCAGCACAGUAAUAGCUUGCUCUUACGGGUGGCGAGUGGCGGACGGGUGAGGAAUGCAUCGUAAUCUACUUUUUGGGGGGGGAUAACGUAGGGGAAGUUACGCUCAUACCGCAUACGACCUACGGGUGAGAGCAGGGGAUCUUCUGGGCUUUCGCGAUUGAAUGCGCGGAUGUCGGGUUAGCUAGUUGGCGGGGUAAUGGCCAACCCAGUGGGCGAUUCGUAGCUGGUGUGAGAGGAUGGUCGGCGACACUGGAACGGAGACACGGUCCAGACUCCUGCGAGAGGCAGCAGUGGGGAAUAGUAGACAAUGGGGGGAAGCCUUACACAGCCAGACCGCGUGGGUGAAAGAGGCCUUCCGGUUGGAAAGACCGUUUUUUGGGAAAGAAAAGCAGCAGGUUAAUACCCCGCUGUUCUGACGGUACCCAAAGAAUAAGCACCGGCUAACUUCGUG
This 492-nucleotide ribosomal RNA is filed under the name uncultured bacterium. Its description in RNAcentral is "partial 16S ribosomal RNA". It matches the Rfam family "Bacterial small subunit ribosomal RNA", at positions 29 to 507 of the family's 1533-position model. The record is from RNAcentral.